RNAcentral lists this ribosomal RNA (577 nucleotides) under Bacillus licheniformis. Its description in RNAcentral is "bacterial SSU rRNA". It matches the Rfam family "Bacterial small subunit ribosomal RNA", at positions 1 to 564 of the family's 1533-position model. Lineage: Bacteria; Bacillati; Bacillota; Bacilli; Caryophanales; Bacillaceae. The record is from RNAcentral.
UAGAGUUUGAUCGUGGCUCAGGACGAACGCUGGCGGCGUGCCUAAUACAUGCAAGUCGAGCGGACAGAUGGGAGCUUGCUCCCUGAUGUUAGCGGCGGACGGGUGAGUAACACGUGGGUAACCUGCCUGUAAGACUGGGAUAACUCCGGGAAACCGGGGCUAAUACCGGAUGCUUGAUUGAACCGCAUGGUUCAAUUAUAAAAGGUGGCUUUUAGCUACCACUUACAGAUGGACCCGCGGCGCAUUAGCUAGUUGGUGAGGUAACGGCUCACCAAGGCGACGAUGCGUAGCCGACCUGAGAGGGUGAUCGGCCACACUGGGACUGAGACACGGCCCAGACUCCUACGGGAGGCAGCAGUAGGGAAUCUUCCGCAAUGGACGAAAGUCUGACGGAGCAACGCCGCGUGAGUGAUGAAGGUUUUCGGAUCGUAAAACUCUGUUGUUAGGGAAGAACAAGUACCGUUCGAAUAGGGCGGUACCUUGACGGUACCUAACCAGAAAGCCACGGCUAACUACGUGCCAGCAGCCGCGGUAAUACGUAGGUGGCAAGCGUUGUCCGGAAUUAUUGGGGCGGUUA